This is a non-coding RNA of Picea glauca (white spruce), 123 nucleotides long. Lineage: Eukaryota; Viridiplantae; Streptophyta; Pinopsida; Pinales; Pinaceae. The record is from Rfam.
AUGUAAAUGCCUACAACAUAGAGUUAAUGCACCAAAUACCAUUAAAACUCUGCAGUUAAGCACGCUUAGUCUAGAGUAGUACUGGAAUGGGUUACCGCCUGGGAAUUCCUAGUGUUUUACAUG